GAUGAACGCUGGCGGCGUGCCUAAUACAUGCAAGUCGAGCGAACGGACGAGGAGCUUGCUCCUCUGAUGUUAGCGGCGGACGGGUGAUUAACACGUGGAUAACCUACCUAUAAGACUGGGAUAACUUCGGGAAACCGUAGCUACUACCGGAUAAUAUAUUGAACCUCAUGGUUCAAUAGUUAAAGACGGUCUUUCUGUCACUUAUAGCUGGAUCCGCGCUGCAUUAGCUAGUUGGUAAGGUAACGGCUUACCAAGGCGACGAUGCAUAGCCGACCUGAGAGGGAGAACGGCUACAUUGGCAGUGAGAAAGGGCACAGACACCGAGAGGAGGAAGCAGUAGGGAAUCUUACGGGAGGGAGGAGUGGGUGACGGAGCAAAAUGGCGUGAGGGAUGAAGGACUUAGGAUGGGAGAACGAUGAAAGUAGGGGAGAAGAAAAGUGUAAGUAACCGGGAAGAUAAUGACGGUACCGAAAGAGAAAGCUACGGCUAACUACGUG
Molecule: ribosomal RNA, 497 nt
Filed under: uncultured bacterium
Lineage: Bacteria
Description: partial 16S ribosomal RNA
Rfam family: Bacterial small subunit ribosomal RNA
Source: RNAcentral